AACUAACCCCCUAGCAUACCGCCGAUUGCCCCCGCGUAACAAAUAACUUACAAGCGACACUAAAUCAUUCUUCCCCCCGAGUAUGGGCGACAGAAAGGGACUCAUAUAGCCACAGAGAGAGUACCGCAAGGGAUUCCUGAAAUAGCAAUGAAACAACCUAAAAGACAAGAGCAGUAGAGAUUCACCCUCGUACCUUUUGCAUCAUGGAUUAACAAGUCCGCCCAAGCAAAGAGGCCUUUAGUUUGGCACCCCGAAACCGGACGAGCUACUUCAAGUCAGCCCCUAGG
Molecule: ribosomal RNA, 287 nt
Filed under: Cyclothone braueri (garrick)
Lineage: Eukaryota; Metazoa; Chordata; Actinopteri; Stomiiformes; Gonostomatidae
Description: partial 16S ribosomal RNA
Source: RNAcentral